Molecule: long non-coding RNA, 1765 nt
Organism: Sciurus carolinensis (gray squirrel)
Lineage: Eukaryota; Metazoa; Chordata; Mammalia; Rodentia; Sciuridae
Exons: 5
Source: RefSeq, a predicted model, not a curated record
CGGGCACACCUGUUGGUCAUGCUGUCAUCGUUAUAAUUGGUGGGACUUGGAAGUUCAUGUCAGUCUUCAGAUGACCCACAUGACCUCUCUACCCAAUGACAGGAAGUGGAUCACUCCGGUUUGUGGCAUAUGAACUGAGUCCUAUCCCAAAGGGAAUACUUUGGAAGGAGAACAGAAACAGAGAGAAAAGGAGACUCCCUGAAACUGAGAAAGAUGGUGAUCUUGGGGUUUUUCAUCAAGUAGUAGAGCCCCAGGCCCAGCUCCUGUAAACACCUCAGGGAAGAACUUGGAGAGGAAGGACUUCGUGGCGUACCUAGAGAGGCUGGAUAUUAGACCCUGGAGCUUUCGGCCCUGGCAAAGACUUCUGUGCCAAGCUUGGCAGGAGUCUGUGGAGCUGUCUGACCUUAAGUGAUCAUGAGAGCCUGGGUGAUGAGCACAAGGUGCUGAUGGGUAUGGACUGAAGACAAGAGGACUCAGGUCCAAGUGACGUGCUCUGGGUAAGUUCCCAGGGGCUUUUGCACAAUGCUAUGAGGUGAGGCCCAGCAUGAUGAGGACUUAUACUCAGAUAUAUUUUGAUUUUGGAACAAAAUAUUGUGACAUUUUUCAUAAACCCAUGUUUGUAAAAAAUCCUACCUGCUACUUGAAUAUUUGAUUGGGGGCACAGAAGGGACUAGCAGGGCAGCAGGGUGAAUCGAAGUAUGAGUCUGGGUACUAGAAAAUUUGAGAACUUGCUUCUUAUCACCCAGGACUUAAGGGGAAAAGAGUGGUGUUUUGUGCGCCCAAAGAUCUCUAUCGACUCAGCAUAUUUUCAUGUAAUACUGGCCUGUGCCAGUGGCUGGUUCACUCAGCUGUUUGGAAGAGAGUGCUAACAAGGCCAAGGUCAGGUUCUCAUUUCCAUGCAUGCUGCCUGAGAGAGGCAGGCCUUCAGCUUCUGUUGCCACAGAUUAAAUCCCUAACCAGACCAACUGCUUCACAAAUGCAAGUGCUGGGUUGGGAGGCCAGGUGAGAGGGUGUGAAUGAGUCAGCCCAAAGCCUCCGCCUCUCCAGGGGCAAACACUCAGACUUUGGGUUGAUAUCCCUGUGAGCUGUGUGAGGGUUUAAAGGAACUGCCAAGUGGACACGCUCACCAAACAGAAAUAUAUCAAUGCAAUGAUUUCUGAAGGGAGUCUGAUAGAGGGCAAAGGGCCUGUACUUAGUUGGCCUAACACUGUAUCUGUACCCAACAUUUUACCCAUAAUUUACUCGUGUUAUGGUAUCAUUUACAAAAUGACUAAUACAGGUUGUUGUUUGUUCAUUCUUGUGGUGCUGAGAUGAAACCCAGGACCUUGUGCAUGUGAGGUCAGCGCUCUACCACUGAACUACACCUGUAGCACCCAAAAUGAAUUCAGAGUUUAAGAAGCAUAUCUGCAAAGUGAAGAUGAGGCCUCUAAGAUUACAUUUUAAAUGAAAAUUCUGGUCUGCAGCAAAAAUAAAAUGAGAAGAGAAAGAAGAUAUGAAGUUCGAAGUGGAACAGUGUGGUUGGGAAAUUCCCAUGCCUCUACCCUUAAAAAAGGAAAAGAAAAAAAGAAACUCUCUUAUGACCUAGAAGAUUUAUGAUGUGUAGCAAUUUGUUCGUCGGCUCAGGCACAGAUCUGAAUCACACACUGUCUGGAUGCAGGGCCUGGACAUCACUUAGCUGAAGCUCCUGUGUUUUCUGGAGAAUGACUGCUGGGGCAGAUUUUUAUAUCCUGUUCUUCCAGAGACGUGCAGAGAAACCAGACUCAAG